Molecule: ribosomal RNA, 119 nt
Filed under: Colobus angolensis palliatus
Lineage: Eukaryota; Metazoa; Chordata; Mammalia; Primates; Cercopithecidae
Source: RNAcentral
GUCUACGGCCAUACCACCCUGAACGUGCCUGAUCUCGUCUGAUCUCAGAAAAUAAGCAGGGUAGGACCUGGUUAGUACUUCGAUGGGAGACUGCCUGGGAAUACCAGGUGCUGUAGUCU